RNAcentral lists this ribosomal RNA (229 nucleotides) under uncultured bacterium. RNAcentral describes it as "partial 16S ribosomal RNA". It matches the Rfam family "Bacterial small subunit ribosomal RNA", at positions 568 to 796 of the family's 1533-position model. The record is from RNAcentral.
CGUGUAGGCGGCUUCGUAAGUCGGAUGUGAAAGCCCUGGGCUUAACCUGGGAAUGGCAUUCGAUACUGCGCGGCUAGAGUCUGAUAGAGGGAAGUGGAAUUCCAGGUGUAGCGGUGAAAUGCGUAGAGAUCUGGAGGAACACCAGUGGCGAAGGCGGCUUCCUGGAUCAAGACUGACGCUGAGGCUCGAAAGCGUGGGGAGCAAACAGGAUUAGAUACCCUGGUAGUCC